Mauremys reevesii (Reeves's turtle) is the source of this 1137-nucleotide long non-coding RNA. RefSeq lists it as uncharacterized. The record is from RefSeq and is a predicted model, not a curated record. Lineage: Eukaryota; Metazoa; Chordata; Testudines; Geoemydidae. The transcript has 3 exons.
ACCCAGAGCAAGAUAAUGACACAUACAAGCAACAGGGGUGCCACAGAAUCCACAGACUAAUUUUUUCUUCUUCCCCCCACCCCCAAACACACACUGAAGCAUGACAACUUCCAACGCAGCUGUAUGGAUGGGGGAAAAAAGCUGUCAGCAAAGCCUGAAGAAAAAAAGCUACUAGGCUGGAUAAUGAGGCCUUUGCCAGGGAAGUCAAAGCUGAUGCUGGCACAACUGCUAUCAAUGUGAAAUCCAGUGACAGUGAUUUAAACACAAAAGACAUGGAUUUCUCUCCUUAUCUGCAAGAAUUCAGAUUUCAACAAUUCAGAACAUAACAGUAACUCCAAAGAAAACAGAAAAUGGAACUAAUUGGCCAGACAAUAGGAAGAGCCACAAACAUUACCCGGGAUACCACAUGCUGUACAAAACUUCAGCCAAAACCUGUUUUUCAGGCCUCAUCAGAGGAAUGUGAAUCUUAUUCAACUGGCGAGAAGCCAAAAUCCAUCAUAGUCAGUUUUUUUUUCCUUUUACAUAAUCCUGAAUUUAGGCUAAUAUAUAAACCAGCUGCAGUUGGGUGAUUUUUGCAGGAUGGUUCACUGAACUCUGGACUGCAGAGCAAUGCACAGUUUGGAACAGAUCAGUAAAUUGUUUUCCUCAACCACUGGGUUUCAUGUCUGCUUCUCAGCAUCUGUGUUCCUUUUCCUAUGGUUGCAGAAAUGAAGCCCCAUCAUCAUUUUAAGAGACAUUCUAGAUUUAAGAGACAUUUAUGAUUUUGAAUAUGGAUCCUCCACCACUCACUCCCCCAAAGGCUGGUUUAGUGCGAUCUACCCCUUGCACCAUCUUUGAAAUAAGCCUUUGGGAGCAAUGCAGGGCGUCUGUGGCUUGUUAGAGUUAUCACCGUAUUCAAAUAUGUGAAAGGAUGGCUUAGAGGCUUUGGGUUCACUGGAUCAGGAACCAUAGGUUCAACUCCUCAGGUGUGUUGAGCUACAGUUCUUUUAAAGUGGAUAAACUGUAAGCAACUGUCUGUCUUCAUGAUUUGACCUGUGUUCCAUCUGUGUUGCACACAUAGUAAAGACCCCAUGGCAUAGUUUAUAAGAGAGAGGAUCUGCCUGUAUGCUGGGCCAAACAUUUCCUCUUCCCGUUGGC